Molecule: long non-coding RNA, 240 nt
Filed under: Capsicum annuum
Lineage: Eukaryota; Viridiplantae; Streptophyta; Magnoliopsida; Solanales; Solanaceae
Description: long non-coding RNA (CANN_LNC011247)
Source: RNAcentral
GAUCUUAGUUAAACUUUGUGUAUUGUCUAGAGGCUUUGUAGACCUAAUGUACAGGCAAGGUGGUGUUUUGUUAAUAGACGUGAUGGCUCCAACGGCCAAGUAUUGUAUAUACAUAUAUAUGUGUGCUUGAGCUUAUACAGGUGAUUAUUUCCUUUUAUAUACGACAUAAUGCUGUCCGAAUUUCGGGUUGUCAUAGAGGUAUGCAUGGGAAGUAUAAGGUUAUAAGCUGGUUCUCCCGGG